RNAcentral lists this long non-coding RNA (1102 nucleotides) under Sorghum bicolor (sorghum). Its description in RNAcentral is "long non-coding RNA (SBIC_LNC010731)". Lineage: Eukaryota; Viridiplantae; Streptophyta; Magnoliopsida; Poales; Poaceae. The record is from RNAcentral.
GAACACUCCCUACUUUGAGUUUGUACCAAUGUCUAGCUUUUUCCAUUAAAGAGAACGGAAAGAGCUUCCAUUUAAAGUUCUCAUCGGACAUUCCUUCUAUGCGAAGGAGGUCACAGACUUGAUAAAACUCUCUUAGGUGGGUGUAUGGGUUUUCCUCACUUUCUCCUGAGAAACGUUGUUUUUGAAUAAAUUCUAUGUAUUCGGGGUCUAUCUCAAAACUAGAUGCUAUGACAGGCUUUGAAGAUUUUGGUGGUGCGAGAUGUGUGCCCGCAGGUCUAUGGAAUUCAUAGAUAGACAUGUUUGAAUGAUAGACCAGAGAUCAAGGAUUAUAUAAGAAGAAAGAAUAGCAGAGAUAAGUAAAAGAUAUAAGGAAAAAUAUAUAUAUAAUUUUUUUUUAUUUUUUUUAGAAAAUGAUUAAGCUAGUUCGUAGUCAACUCAGCAAUCGUUUCCCCGGCAACGGUGCCAAAAAUGCUUGUUGACACUUGCUAACACCACUUGAAUACUAGGUUGUCAUCCCCAGCAUGGCACUAGAGUGUACUAUGGUAUUUAUACGCACACAGAUAAUCCGCAAGCGCACGGAUACCGUUAUAGCUUUUACCCGGUUAAAGGUUUUAUCGUAUCCAUAGGGAAACGGGAGAACUGAUCUAUGCUCUAACUUAACCAAGAUAAGUAAAUAGGUGUAAAUAGGAAAGAUGGUAGAAUCGAAUAAGAACAAUAUUAAAGGUAAGAUAACAGUGAGUGAUAAUAUGGGAAUAAAGAAUAAAGCAAUUCUAGUAUAUGGGCGAUGGUAGCAGAAUAGAGAGGAUAACUAUGGUUUCUCUACUUCAAAGGGGUAUGUCUAUGUCUGGGACGAACCACGUGAUAAGAGUACACCAGAAAGGAUGCUUAUCCUUAGGCUGAUAAACCCUACCCGUCCUACUAACGAGAGGUGGACUACAGAGGACCAACGUAACUGUCACCUACGCUGCCUGCCACACGAUCCAGCUAGACAGGGGAUAUCCACAAGUAAUCUAGGUCUAAGCACCACGCUUACACCUAUACUACAACUCUCACCUAUAGCGUCCUAUAGAUUAAAGUACUCAAAAGAGUUGUGAACCAGAAC